AAAUAUUGCCUUUGUGUAUGUAAAUUUAUAUAUAUAUAUAGAGAGAGAGAGAGAGAGUUGAGCUAGAAUACUAUCGGUAGCAAACGGGCUCCGUUGUCACCCAUUUGUUUUCAAUGAUGGAGCCUCCAAAUCGACGAUCGGUACCGUUGAAAAUGAUCUAUACCACUUGAAGUAUCUAGAAAUCAAAUUUCAUGCUUUUUCGAUAUUUUUAUCUUGUCCAUCAAGUGGGCGUAAAAAUGAACGGCUGAAAAUAAAUAUCCUCUAAAAAGUGAUAAUAGAAAUUUUGUAAUCAAGAUCGAGAGUAUAGAUCUUGUUCUAAAUAGUUUAAAGAAUUUUCUAACCAAAAUUCAAUUGAUUUGGAUAGCUUUACACCGUUAAACGAGAAAAUACCUCAUAUCGACCAUUAAAAUUAAAAAUUUUGAAAUUCUUUGAUCAAUAGAUCAAUGAUGUCGAAAAGAUUUGAAAUUUGAUUUCUAGAUACUUCAAGCGGUAUAGAUCAUAUUCAACGGUGUCGAUCGUCGAUUUGGAGGCUCCAUCAUCGAAAACAAAUGGGUGGCAACGGAGCCCGUUUGCUACCGAUAGUAUUCUAGCUCAACUCUAUAUAUACAUAUAUAUAUAUACAUAUAUAUAUACUAGUUGAGUGUACGUACAAAUGUACGUAACAAUUAAUUAUUUAGUAAUUAUUUUAAAUUAAUACGAAAUUGUACAUCAUAUUUAUUCAAAAAUUUAUAAUAUUUUUUAAAAAUAAAUUUAUUUAUUAUGUACUAUUAGAAAAUACCUGUUAUAUAUAUUCUAACUCAAAUUUAAAUAGUUGUUGUCAACAAUAAUUAUAUAUAUAUUUUUAUUUUAUAAAAUUUAUAUAUAGGAUAGAUAUAGAUAUACAUCGGAUAUUUUUCUAUAUUUUUUAAAUUAAAUUUAAUUCACGAUUUGAACUCAAAGUUAAAUUUUAAUGUAAAAUGAAUGGAUAGAAGUGCUUUUUUAACAGAUUGAUCAUAACCGUUCAUUUUUAUUUUUAAUAUUUUUAACCAAUUGAUCAUACUCAUUCGUAGAAUUAAAGUUAUAGAUAAGUAUAAAUAUUUUUUUUUAACAAAUUAGUCAUAAUCGUUCGUUCUUAUUUGAGAUAAUUUUUUACAAAUUGAUCAUAAAUUUGUACAUCAUAUUAAUUCAAAAAUAUGAUUUACAAAUUUAUCAACCAAUCUAUCUUUUAAAUUAUUUUCAAUGUAAUAUAUUGAUAGUCCCAAAAUUUUAAAUUUUAAAUUAAUUUUAAAUUUUGAAUUGAAAUAUAGAUUUACUGUAGAUAUUCUGGCAAAAAUUUGGAUAAGCAUAAUAUUUUUCUAUUUUAGAGAUAAAAAAUUAAAUAAUUUUUUAAUUAAAAUAUAGAUUCACAGUAGAUAUCUUUCGGUUGGCAAAAAUUUGGAUAAGUAUAUUUUUUUUUUCUAUUUUAGAGAUAAACAAUUAAAUAAUUUUUUAAUUAAAAUAUAGAUUCACAGUAGAUAUCUUUCGGUUGGCAAAAAUUUGGAUAAGUAUAUUUUUUUUCUAUUUUAGAGAUUAACAGAAAUGAAAAGUUUGUUUCAUUAUGUUAUUUAUUUUACGUACGGAAAGAGGAAUCAAUAUUUUUCCCGCUAAAAAAUAGGUCUGUCGACAGACCCAAAUUUGAAAUACGUGCUUUUAUAUAUAGUAUAGAUAUAUAUAUAGUCCGGCUAUUAUACUCUUACGAGUACAAUAACCAGUACGAUAACCUUCGUGCUCAUAACUCGUAUUCGAUGAUAGAGCUUCCGAAUUGACGAAGCAUACCGUUAAAUAUUAUCUAAACAUAUAGAAAUCAAAUUUCAUAAUUUUCAAUAUAAUUUAUUUUGCGAUCAAAAAACCUUAAAAUUGAUAACUUUUAACGGUCGAUAAUUUUGACUGUUUAUUUAAUGCUCGCUUGAUAGACUUUAUUGUAAUUUCAAAAAAAAUUUACGAAAUUUAUUUUUUGAAAGUUUCAAAUGUUCUAAAUUAUAUUUAAUAGUAUAGAUCAUUAAUUUGGAAGCUUCAUCAUUAAAAAUAACUUAUGAAUGUGAACUCUAUACUCAUAAAAGUAUAUAUAUAUAUAUAGUCCGACUACCAUACUCUUAUGAGUAUAGACCUCUUUGUACUCAUAUUUUCAGCUGUUAGAUCUAUCAUUUUGAUCAUUUUCAUUCGUUAAAUCAAACUAUUCAACCAACUACCCACUCAACCUUAGGAAACUAUUAUCGUUCUAACCGUACAUCCCUUCAUUCAACGGUCGAAAACAUAUGAAUACAAAAGGAUCUAUACUCAUAACAAUAUAGUAACCCUACCCUAUAUAUAUAUAUAUAUAUAUAUAUAGAGAGAGAGAGAGAGAGAGAGAGAGAGAGAGAGAGUAGGGCUACUAUACUCUUAUAAGUAUAGGGCCCUUUGUACUCAUAAGUUGUUUUCGAUGAUGGAGUUUUCGAAUCGACGAUUCACACCGUUAAACAUAAUCUAGAGUAUUUGAAACUUUUAGAAAAUAAAUUUCGUAAUUUUUCGAAAUCAUUAUAAAGUCCUUCAAGUGGGUAUAAAAUGAACGGUUAAAAUCGAACGACAUCCUAAAACUGGAUGAUCGGAUCCUUCAAUUUAAGAUCGGAGUUAUUGAUCUUUAUUUAGGUAGUGAAUAGAAUUUUCUAUCAAAAAUUCAAUCUAUUCCGAUUCUCUUUCACCGUUAAACUAGCAAAUAUCUCAUACCGGCCGUUAAAAAUUGUCAAUUUUGUGAGCUUUUGAUCGUAAGGUAAAUGAUAUCGAAAAAUUAUAGAAUUUGAUUUCUAGAGGUUUCAAAUGCUCUAGAUAAUGUUUAACGGUAUGAAUAGUCGAUUCAGAAGCUCUAUCAUCAAAAAUAACUUAUGAGUACGAAGGCGAGUACUCAUAAGAGUAUAGUAGCCGAACUCUUUAUAUAAAGAGUAAUUAUAUAUAUAUAUAUAUAUAUAUAUAUAUAUAUAUAUAUAUAGAAGUCGGCUCCUAUGCUAUCGGUAGCAGGAGCGCUCCGUGCUACCAAGUUGUUUUCGAUAAUGCGGCUUCCAAAUCGACGAUCGACUCCGUUAGACUUGAUCUACACUAUUGAAAGUAUUUGGAAACUAAAUUUCAAAUUUUUUCGACACAUUUGACUAGUGAUCAAAAGAUCUCAAAAUUGACAAUUUUAAUGGCCGAUGUGGUGUGUUUGUGAGUUUAACGGUGUAAAACAAUCCAAAUGCGAUGAAAAUUUUAUAGAAAAAUUCUUUUCACUAUUUAGAGUAAAAUCAGUAUAUCUGAUCUUAAAUUUAAAUCUUUUAUCAUCAUUUUUUAUGAGAUUUUUAUUUUCAACCGUUCAAUUUUAGACUACUUAUUUGAUAGGUAAAUGAUAUCGAAAAAUUAUGACAUUUAGUUUCUAAAUACUUUCAAUAGUGUAGAUCAAGUCUAACGGAGCCGAUCAUUGAUUUGGAAGCCGCAUCAUCGAAAACAACUUGGUAGCACGAAGCGCUCCGUGCUACUGAUAGUAUAGUAGCCUAGUUCUAUAUAUAUAUAUAUAUAUAUAUAUAUAUAUAUAUAUAAAGUAAAAAAAUAAAUUAAAAUUUGAGAAUUAAAAUAUCACUAGCUUUAUAGGUCCAGGACCAAACGAGUACCAACAGUGUAAUUUAUCCUUAUUAAUUACUAGUCCCAAUAAAAAAUUGUUGCGGAGUGGUCCUCAAAAGCGCGUCGCUGAUGCGUUGCAUCAAAGCGCAAAGCAUUACACGGGAUCUGCUAGGUCGUGCAGUGUAUCUAUGAGCCUUCACUAUUGCCACUACAAUUACUAUUUACUGUUACCUUUUUUUUUACUAUUAUUAUUCUAGGGUGUUGGGGGGACAAAAUGAAGAACAUUAUUGCUGUUAGGCUGUGAUUGAAUGAGUAGUUUCAAAGCUAAUGCAUUAAAAAUAUAAUAAGAGAAAUGCUAACUCUACGAUCCAAGGAUAUUGUAACCGCUGCAAUCCUUGCGACGCCCCACUUUUUUAGAGGUCAUCUAUCUUAAAACUACUUUAUCCCAAGCACGCCUAACUCUCUUGACUAGAAGUUAGUCACCAUCCAAAAUACUAUAGCUGAAUUAAGAGAUUUAGUCUUAUUAUACUAUAUAUAUAUAUAGAGAGAGAGAAAGAGAGAGAGAGAGUACGGAAGCUUCCGUACUGUCAAGUUGUUUUCAAUUAUGCGGCUUGUAAAUCCACGAUUAGUUCCGUUAGAUUAGCUCUAUAUAUAUAUAUAUUCUAAGAAUGUCACUUGAUGAGACUUGUUUUAUUGGACUUAUCAGACCUUGUGGGUAUCCGCGCCCUUCUCGCUGUAUGACCCUAGCUCAGCUGAUAUGAAUCUCACAGUUUCGGCCGAUGAUUGGCUUGAAUACCAAUUAUGAUGCCCCACUUUUCAAGAGAUCAUCUAUCCUAUUAACUAUUAUAAUCCUAACAUACUUAACCCUCUUAAUCUCUUAGGCCUAAUCACAGUCCAAAUAUUAUAACCAAGUUAAAAGAUUUAAUCAUAUUAUACCUUAUAUAGUAAUAUUUCAAAUCCUACAAGCCUCACAACCUUUAGACUUUACCGACCCCUUUUGGAUUUUAAUUAAAAAAAGAAGAUAAUAAGACAAGUUAAAAAUAAAAAUAAUAAAAAUAAUAAAAAUAAAAAAGGCACUUAGAUAAGAGGGAUUGUAAGAUUACAAUCCAAAAUGGACUAUAAGGAUAGCAUUGCUAUUAAAAUAAAGAUUAAAUUACAAAAACCCUGCCCGCACAUUAGCACUAAUCUGAAUUACUCCUCCGUAUUAAAACUAUAUUAAAUAUCCUCCUACAUUUUGUCAUUCUUUUAAUAUAUCCAGCUUUUUAGGAUGACCAUUAAAUUCAGCUAUAAAACUUCAUAAAAAAUAUAAGAUUGCAGAUGAAACUGCUUAAAAUAAUAUAAUAUAAUAUAAUAUAGAGUCCGGCUAGGAUACUAUCGAUAGCGUCAAGGACUUGGUGCUAUCGAGUUUUUCACCGUUAAAUUUAAUCCUUUGAUUAUUUUUACCCGUUAGAUUAUACUAUUCAAUCAACCACUCACUCAACCCUAGAGGGCCCACAUCAUCCUAAUCGCACAUUUCUCAAUCCAAUGGCUAAAAAACUAAUAGCAUCAAUAACUUGAUGCUAUUGAUAGUAUUCCAGCCUAGUUCAUAUAAUAUAAUCAUAUAAAUUAAAUAAAAUUAUCAAAUAAACUAUUAAUUUUAAUAGUAUUAGCAAAAUAAAAAAAUCUCUUUUAUUUAAAUUUUUAUCUAAGAUAUGAAACAAUAUUAUAUGCAAGCUUGUUUUAGUAAAGUUUCACAACUUAAUUUGUUAAUUUUUUUAAUUUAUUGGAAAUGGUGGCCAACACAGGAUACUUUUUAUAAUUUAACUUAAAAUAAAAGUACAAUGUACGUAGGCUAAGUGUAUGCCAUUUUGAAAUAAUAAGCCCACAAACUAUAUAAACAUUACUUAUAAAUACCUCCUAAUUAUUUUUGUUUCAAUUUGAAUAAUUGUAAAAUAAUUGACAUAAAAAAAUUAUUAAAUAAAUUUAUUCAGCAGCCUAUUUGAAAAUCACCUACAGUUUAAGGGGCCUCCAUACAAUUUUACCCCCUAAAAAAAAAUAAUGGAGCUAAGCACACGAAGAAAAUGUAAUCCGUACAAGGUGAACAGUGGACAAAGCAAGAGGCCUAAGGAGCUAUUUGAUUAGAUGUAAUUAUAAAUACAAAAUAAUUAAAAAUAUAUAUAAUUAAAAAUACAGCCGUUGUAACUAUAUAUAUUCUAUUUUGUCAAAUGUAGUAGAAAACGCUCAACUAUAAAUAUUUUAUUUGAUUAUAUGCAAUUGAGAAAUAAUUUUUAAAAGUUUAUCAUUUUACAUAUAUGAUGGAGAGAUUACCACCAAUCUACAAAUUUUUUUUUUAUUUAAAAAAUAAUUAAGGAGGUAAGCAUAUAUUUUGUUUAAAAUUACUCUAUCCAAUUGCUGUAGUUCGAACUGCAGCCAAUUUAGGCCUAGUUCCAACUGUUGCAGUUAGACCUCCUCUUGCAUUUCUUAUUGCAGCAAUUAGAGUUAAAUAUAUCGAACCAAACAAUGAAUUUGUGUUUACAUGCAGUUACAAAUACAGUGCAGUUGCAACUACAUGCAACCAAACGGCUCCUAGUUUUUUACAAAAUUAUCAAAAAUUAUAUUUAUUUUCUUAAUUUUACUGUAUAUUUUUUUAAAAAUAAAAAUAUAAGAAAAUAAUAAUUAUAACUUAGAAUUAGCUCAAACAAACAGUACUGUAGAUGUACGAAAAGGGGACUUGAAUAGCAGUUAAGCUUGCAUGUGGAUUAGAUUAGAUCAAUUUCCAAUUCAAAAAGUGAGUCCAAAAGUGCUUCUGCAACAAUCAAUUAAAAAGCUAUGUUUAAUUUUUAAUAUGACAUAUAUCAUAACUUGAUCAUGUGACAACCAAACCAGCUAAUCAUUCCUAUCUAGUACAAUGAAGCAAUAGAUUUUAAUUCAAUUACCUAAAAUUAAUGUGUAGCUAUUAAAAAUAUACAUUUAGUUGUUGCCAAAUAUUGGCUUAUUUUCUUUCAUAUCAUCAACAUUAAUUACUUCUUCUUUUUUUCCUUUUUUUGUUUUUUGGGCCAUGAAAAGUGUACUCUGAUACUUAUAUUAUCUCAAAUAAAAUAUUAGCUAGGAAAUGAUCUUAAUAAAAGUCCAAUUAAGCUUAAUUGGGAACUAAGUAAAAUUCUACAACAAUUUCUUAUGGCAAAGUCAAUUUUUUAUUUAGCAUUGGAUGCAAAUUAACCAAUGUAAGAUACCAAACUGUAAAUCAACUAAGAAAUUAUUUAGAAAUUUAACUAAACUAAGGUUGAAUCUUUUAUUCAAGCUAAGCUAGGAGUUUUUUUUAUUUACCACAACUGUUUAAUGCAGUUGAUUGUUAUCGCGAACACCCUUGCCUUCUUGUUAAAAAAAUAUAUGACUAACAACUCAACUCAUUAGCAAUAAUAAUUUGUUGGGUUCUAAACUAUGACCCAAAAUACUUAAAUUUUACUAUUUUUUCUAGAGUUCAUAGUUUUUAUAUUUUAAAUCACAAUGUAGUACUCAUUUGAUGUAGGACUAUGGGAACAUUAUAGAUUUUUUCUAUUUAGAUCUCGACUAAGAAAUAUGAGACUAAUCUCACACUUUCCAUUAUUAAACUAGCUAUGAUACCAAAUUUAAUGAUCCAACAUGUUAGAACGAAUAACUGGUUGUGCCCUAAACCGCUAGCACAAAAUGCAUUGGUCUAGUGUUAUUAGAGCUCGUAUCAUGUAAUCUCAUUUACAAUUCACUUUUCAUUCGAUGUGGGACAAUUUAGACGUCACAUAAAUACUAAAAUAUAUAUAUAAAUAUAUAUUGUAAACACUAAUAAAUAUAAAAAAUGGAAGCCUACAACACCCCUAAAGUGAGAAAACCUCUAUAUUUUUCUUUUUCCUUUUUUUUAUAUUUAUUUUUGUUAGUUAUCUGGUCACUUUCAUACUUACCAUUUCCAAAAAUUUCCUCUUCCUUUCCCAUCAACUAGAAAACCAACAAAGUAUUAUUAUUAUUAUUUUUUUCCAUUGUAAAACAAAAGGUAAUUAUCGUUUGCCUUGUAAAUUAUUAUCCAAAAAAUUAGAAAUAAAUACUAAAAUAUAGAAAAUAUUUCUAUAGUACUCACUUUUUUUUUCUUUCUAAUUUUUAAAAAUUUAUAUUUUAUCUCUCCAAAAUUUUUAAAGUAUUUUUUAAAAAUUACAACAAUAAUAAUAAAGGUAAAAUGACUAAAUAUUUUUUCUUAUUUUUUUAAAAAAAACUUUUUUAAUAUAUUUAAAAAUAUUUUUAAUAUAAAUUAUAAAAAAUAGAUCAAAUAGUGAUAAAAUCUUGACCGAAAGAAAAAAAAAUAUGACGCCCCACUUUUCGGUUGUCAUUCAUUUUAGGACUAUUUUAGUCCUCACACGCUUAACUCUUUUAAUACCUUCGGUUUAAUCACCGUCCAAAAUACUAUAGCUGGAUUGAUAUUAAGAAAUUUAAUCUUAUUAUAUCUCAUAUAUAUAUAUAUAUAGAACUAACCCAAAUUUUGAGUUUGAUAUUAUAACCAGGUUAAAAAAUUUAGUCAUAUUAUAUCUCAUAUAUAGAACUAAUCCAAAUUUUAAGGUUGAUAUUAUAACCGAGUUAAGAGAUUUAAUCCUAUUAUAUUUUAUACACAUUAAUAAUCUAAAUUCUGAUGUCUCACAAGAAAACUAAAUAUAUCAACUUAAACUUUGAGGCUUCGUUUGGUUCGAGUAUAAGUAAGAACUAGCUUAUAUCAGGAAUAGGUAUAAGUUUAGCUAUAAGCGAAAACUAGACCAAUUUUGUGUUUGGAUGAAAAUUUGGUUGUUUCUAAAAAUAAGAAAAAUAAUAUUUGAAUAAAUAAGAUGGAAUAAAAAAAAUAAUUGAUUAUUAUAAAUAAAAUAUAAUAAUAUUACCCCUCUCAUUAUAUUUGAAUUUAAAAUUUUAAAUUCACAAUUUUAAAUUUUAAAUAAUUUAAAUUUUAAAAUUUUAAAUUUUAAANCAUUAUAUUUGAAUUUAAAAUUUUAAAUUCACAAUUUUAAAUUUUAAAUAAUUUAAAUUUUAAAAUUUUAAAUUUUAAAAUUUGAAAUUUAAGACCAAAUUUAAAUUUGAAAGAUAUAAAAUAUAAAUUUUAAAAUUUAAAAUUAUAAAUUUUAAUUUUGAGAUUAUAAAUUUUAAAUUUUAAAAAUUCUAAU
RNAcentral lists this long non-coding RNA (8732 nucleotides) under Ananas comosus (pineapple). Its description in RNAcentral is "long non-coding RNA (ACOM_LNC018345)". Lineage: Eukaryota; Viridiplantae; Streptophyta; Magnoliopsida; Poales; Bromeliaceae. The record is from RNAcentral.